CCCUCCUUUUUGGAAAGCUCUUUGCUAGAGCUCUUUUUUUGUAGCUAUCGCCUUUUCACUCAUGUCUCCACCCAAAUGUCACUUUCUCACAGGCCUCAUCUGAUCCCCUGUCAAAAGUGUCCCUCCCUUCAGUCAUCAUGGCCAGCCCCUUUCCUUCUGAUGGGGUCCCUGUGAGUGCAGGGAAGCUGGCUGUGUGAUUCACUGCUGCACCGCACACAGUGCCCAGCACAGCAGUGCCUGGCCCACAGCAGGGGCUCAGGAAUGUUUGGUGAGAGGUGGGAGCAGGCGAUGUUGAGGGAAGUUGAGGGCAAGGCCUAGGAAGGCGUGUGUUUGGGUCAGGUGCAACCCAUUCCUGGGAACAGCGGCAGGCCUGAAGACGGGCAGCUGGACUGGCCACAGGCGCAUCCCACCUCCAAGGAGGGAGCCCACAGAGCCCCCACCCAGCCCCUGGCCCCCAGAUGGAAGGCCCCUGCCAGACCAGGGCUGGCACAGAGGAAGGAAUUGCCCCCAGUAGCCUUGAAGCAGGAGCAGAGUCACAACAAGGGGCCCAGCACUGAGCGGGCCCAGCCCCAGGCCACGGAGGCAGCAGGGGCUGAGGCGGCAAAGCCCCAGGCCACCAAGCUCAGGCCCUUGCAGGCCAGCAGGGCCCCCCAAGCCCAAGAGGGGUCAGUGGCUGCCAAAGAGGGCCAGGGCAGGAAGGCAGGAGGCCAGGAAGCCAGGAGCAGGGGCCUGAAG
This is a long non-coding RNA of Diceros bicornis minor, 735 nucleotides long. RefSeq lists it as uncharacterized. The record is from RefSeq and is a predicted model, not a curated record. The transcript is spliced from 3 exons. NCBI's taxonomy places the organism in Eukaryota, Metazoa, Chordata, Mammalia, Perissodactyla, Rhinocerotidae.